UUGCAUGAAUUGCAGUUGUAUGUUAAACUAAGAAGUUUGAAUUUUAGGUUCACUUGUAGCUUUAUGUUUGAAUGUUUUCGUGCCUGAAGACUGGAAUCUGGACUCUGGACCUAGGAAAAGGUUUUUGUAUUUUUUUGGUAGGAGAGGACUCGAACUUUGGUUGACUGGGUGAGAUCACGGACUGCAAUUAUCUUAGCUGCCUUUGUAUUCACUUUGAUAAUGCAGCCAGCGG
This 232-nucleotide unclassified non-coding RNA is filed under the name Hevea brasiliensis (rubber tree). The record is from RNAcentral. Lineage: Eukaryota; Viridiplantae; Streptophyta; Magnoliopsida; Malpighiales; Euphorbiaceae.